CACGUAGGGCGCAAGCGUUGUCCGGAAUUAUUGGGCGUAAAGAGCUCGUAGGCGGUCUGUUGCGUCCGCUGUGAAAACUCGGGGCUUAACCCCGAGCCUGCAGUGGAUACGGGCAGACUAGAGGUAGGUAGGGGAGAAUGGAAUUCCCGGUGUAGCGGUGAAAUGCGCAGAUAUCGGGAGGAACACCGGUGGCGAAGGCGGUUCUCUGGGCCUUACCUGGCGCUGAGGAGCGAAAGCGUGGGGAGCGAACAGG
Molecule: ribosomal RNA, 253 nt
Filed under: uncultured bacterium
Lineage: Bacteria
Description: partial 16S ribosomal RNA
Rfam family: Bacterial small subunit ribosomal RNA
Source: RNAcentral